UUAAGACUUGUUAUCUCACACCACAGAUGCAGCAGUUCUGAUUCUGAAUGAAGAUGCUUCCCGAGGAAGAUUUCUACUCCAUUCUUGGUGACCAGAGAUCACAGGAUUUAUUCAGGCUGUUUCAUAUUCACUUGGUGAGUUCUGCUGGCUGCUGCUAUCGCUGCUGCCAGACUGUCGUCGUCGUCUCCUGCCUUUUAUCAGGACGCUCCGAUACACCUGCAGGGAAAAAGAGGCAUAAGACGGGAACUAUGAGUAAAUGUGCGGUUACAUAGUCAGCAAACAAUAGUAUGCACGAUAGAGCUGCUCUUUAGAAAACUUCUCUGUGGUAUAAGAUUGUUUCCUACAGGGGAAAAUACAGCCUCCUAAGAUGAUGAUUAUCCACAAGGCACUGGUGCUGUAGCUUGUAAGUGAACAUAUUUUCAAGUAUAAAUGUAAUUUAGCAUAAAAAGCUUUUGGUAGCGCACAAUUUUAACUCUGUCUUUAAGGAGAGUGCUCACAGACUGCUUAUAUUUAAUAUUAAAUCUUAUUUUGAAAAUCUCUACAUUCCUAAAGGCAUGUAAUUAACCAGAAGCCACAUCAUUUAAUAUUAACUGUACUUACAUGACUCUUAGCUUGUGGUUGUGUCCGAUAGCAGCGCAUAAUGUUCUGAAAUGAUCUGUCUUCCUUAGUAACCUAAGGAUAGACAAAUAGAAAAGAUUAAAAUUGUGUUGUUUUCUUUCCCUAUGAUUUGUUUAGGGGUGGUUGGUUUUUGGGUAGGUUGAGGAAUUUGUAGUCACAGCAUAUUAAGCCUUAAAAAAGCAGGUGUUUUUAUUCACCUUACCUUAGACAUUACAUAGAUGGCACACAUGAGCAGCUGAUCCAAGUGUCUGUCCAUCAUGAUUUCAGGGCAGUGCACCAAGGAAUACUCAAAACAAGUCCAGAUCUUUUUCCGCAGCUCAUCAGAUAUAUCGAGUUUGACACAGAGAUCCCGUAGACGAACACUAGCUAAAUGAUACACCUGUUGAAAUUGAGACUCUGCUUAGGAGCACAUCAAUACUGCUUUUCUCACCCAAGAUAAAGCACAAUUCAGACUUGUACAGCCUGUAGAACUUGUGCAAAUGUUAAGUCGAAAGAAGAAUAAAUUUAACUUUUGUGUUUAUUGGUAUUGAUGCUAAGAAAGCAUUUGUUUGAAGCUUAAAUUCUGGAAUUAUUUGGAGCGCAGGAACAGCACCACGUAACUGCUGUAUUGAAUAAGAACAUCUCAAAGGUGAAUUUAUUUCUUUUAAAGAGCCUUAAAGAAAAUGGACACCUUUAAGCGACUGCUGGCCACGUCUGUAAUCUACUCCACAACAAGAGCAGUCUUAAUCUACGCCCUUGCCAGUGCGAAAUGGUCUGCAUAAGAAAACUACUCUUAAGUAAAUAUUUUUAAAUCAUAGAGAACCUGCCACAAUACAAACUAAACAAAGCACAAAUCAGACUGAAAAGUACCUUUCUAAAGAAGAGUGAAAGUGAGCCCAUCUUCCGGGGCCUGGC
Molecule: long non-coding RNA, 1512 nt
Organism: Oxyura jamaicensis (ruddy duck)
Lineage: Eukaryota; Metazoa; Chordata; Aves; Anseriformes; Anatidae
Exons: 3
Source: RefSeq, a predicted model, not a curated record